ACGAACGCUGGCGGCGUGCUUAACACAUGCAAGUCGAACGGAAAGGCCCUGCUUUUGUGGGGUGCUCGAGUGGCGAACGGGUGAGUAACACGUGAGUAACCUGCCCUUGACUUUGGGAUAACUUCAGGAAACUGGGGCUAAUACCGGAUAGGAGCUCCUGCUGCAUGGUGGGGGUUGGAAAGUUUCGGCGGUUGGGGAUGGACUCGCGGCUUAUCAGCUUGUUGGUGGGGUAGUGGCUUACCAAGGCUUUGACGGGUAGCCGGCCUGAGAGGGUGACCGGCCACAUUGGGACUGAGAUACGGCCCAGACUCCGACGGGAGGCAGCAGUGGGGAAUAUUGCACAAUGGGCGGAAGCCUGAUGCAGCAACGCCGCGUGCGGGAUGACGGCCUUCGGGUUGUAAACCGCUUUCGCCUGUGACGAAGCGUGAGUGACGGUAAUGGGUAAAGAAGCACCGGCUAACUACGUG
RNAcentral lists this ribosomal RNA (467 nucleotides) under uncultured bacterium. RNAcentral's name for it is "partial 16S ribosomal RNA". It matches the Rfam family "Bacterial small subunit ribosomal RNA", at positions 29 to 507 of the family's 1533-position model. The record is from RNAcentral.